Molecule: long non-coding RNA, 96 nt
Organism: Octopus sinensis (East Asian common octopus)
Lineage: Eukaryota; Metazoa; Mollusca; Cephalopoda; Octopoda; Octopodidae
Exons: 3
Source: RefSeq, a predicted model, not a curated record
AUGUGGUGUUAUGAACCAGGCUGUGUUGUAAGGAAGGACCGGAAGUGAGGGAGUACGCAUGUCCUGUUGGAAGUGGGGCCUCUAUUGUAAAACAGG